AGUGAACGCUGGCGGUAGGCCUAACACAUGCAAGUCGAACGGCAGCACAGUAAGAGCUUGCUCUUACGGGUGGCGAGUGGCGGACGGGUGAGGAAUACAUCGGAAUCUACUUUUUCGUGGGGGAUAACGUAGGGAAACUUACGCUAAUACCGCAUACGACCUACGGGUGAAAGCAGGGGAUCUUCGGACCUUGCGCGAUUGAAUGAGCCGAUGUCGGAUUAGCUAGUUGGCGGGGUAAAGGCCCACCAAGGCGACGAUCCGUAGCUGGUCUGAGAGGAUGGUCAGCCACACUGGAACUGAGACACGGUCCAGACUCCUACGGGAGGCAGCAGUGGGGAAUAUUGGACAAUGGGCGCAAGCCUGAUCCAGCCAUACCGCGUGAGUGACGAAGGCCUUCGGGUUGUAAAGCCCUUUUGUUGGGAAAGAAAAGCAGCAGGUUAAUACCCCGCUGUUCUGACGGUACCCAAAGAAUAAGCACCGGCUAACUUCGUG
RNAcentral lists this ribosomal RNA (492 nucleotides) under uncultured bacterium. RNAcentral describes it as "partial 16S ribosomal RNA". It matches the Rfam family "Bacterial small subunit ribosomal RNA", at positions 29 to 507 of the family's 1533-position model. The record is from RNAcentral.